Molecule: small RNA, 106 nt
Filed under: Escherichia coli
Lineage: Bacteria; Pseudomonadati; Pseudomonadota; Gammaproteobacteria; Enterobacterales; Enterobacteriaceae
Description: partial RtT sRNA
Rfam family: RtT RNA
About the family: This family represents a bacterial cis-regulatory element known as RtT RNA.
Source: RNAcentral
AAGCUUCGACCAAGGUUCGACUGGAGCGCCAGCGAGAGAGCUUGGCCGCAGUCAACGACCCGAAGGGCGAAGCGCGCAGCGCUUAGUAAUCCUUCCCCCACCACCA